RNAcentral lists this small RNA (282 nucleotides) under Alkalilimnicola ehrlichii MLHE-1. RNAcentral's name for it is "5' ureB small RNA". It matches the Rfam family "5' ureB small RNA". The record is from Rfam by way of RNAcentral. Lineage: Bacteria; Pseudomonadati; Pseudomonadota; Gammaproteobacteria; Chromatiales; Ectothiorhodospiraceae.
CUCUUCAAUCAAUUGCGGGCAGACGAAGUGGAUGUGGGCGUCGAUAUGGCCGGCGGUGAGGAUCUUGCCCUCGCCGGCGAUGGCCUCGGUGCCGGGGCCGAUGAUGAUGUCCACGCCGUCCUGGGUGUCCGGGUUGCCGGCCUUGCCGAUGGCGUGGAUGCGCCCGGCCCUGAUGCCCACGUCCGCCUUCACGAUCCCCCAGUGGUCGAGGAUGAGGGCGUUGGUGAUGACCAGGUCCACAGCCUCGGCGUUGGUGCGCUGGCUCUGCCCCAUGCCGUCGCG